CCUACGGGAGGCAGCAGUGAGGAAUAUUGGUCAAUGGGCGCAAGCCUGAACCAGCCAAGUCGCGUGAGGGAUGACGGUCCUAUGGAUUGUAAACCUCUUUUGUCGGGGAGCAAGGCCCGCCACGUGUGGCGGGAAGGAGAGUACCCGAAGAAAAAGCAUCGGCAAACUCCGUGCCAGCAGCCGCGGUAAAACGGAGGAUGCGAGCGUUAUCCGGAUUUAUUGGGUUUAAAGGGUGCGUAGGCGGAAGGUUAAGUCAGCGGUAAAAUGUCGGUGCUCAACACCGGCCUGCCGUUGAAACUGGUCUUCUUGAGUGAGCGAGAAGUAUGCGGAAUGCGUGGUGUAGCGGUGAAAUGCAUAGAUAUCACGCAGAACUCCGAUUGCGAAGGCAGCAUACCGGCGCUCAACUGACGCUGAGGCACGAAAGCGUGGGGAUCGAACAGGAUUAGAUACCCCGGUAGUC
Molecule: ribosomal RNA, 460 nt
Filed under: uncultured bacterium
Lineage: Bacteria
Description: partial 16S ribosomal RNA
Rfam family: Bacterial small subunit ribosomal RNA
Source: RNAcentral